GACGAACGCUGGCGGCGUGCUUAACACAUGCAAGUCGAGCGGUAAGGCCCUUUCGGGGGUACACGAGCGGCGAACGGGUGAGUAACACGUGGGUGACCUGCCCUUAGCUCUGGGAUAAGCCUGGGAAACUGGGUCUAAUACCGGAUAUGACUCCAUGACGCAUGUUGUGGGGUGGAAAGCCUUGUGCGGCUAGGGAUGGGCCCGCGGCCUAUCAGCUUGUUGGUGGGGUGAUGGCCUACCAAGGCGACGACGGGUAGCCGGCCUGAGGGGGCGACCGGCCACACUGGGACUGAGACACGGCCCAGACUCCUACGGGAGGCAGCAGUGGGGAAUCUUGCGCAAUGGGCGAAAGCCUGACGCAGCGACGCCGCGUGAGGGAUGACGGCCUGG
Molecule: ribosomal RNA, 390 nt
Filed under: uncultured bacterium
Lineage: Bacteria
Description: bacterial SSU rRNA
Rfam family: Bacterial small subunit ribosomal RNA
Source: RNAcentral